This 554-nucleotide small RNA is filed under the name Pongo abelii (Sumatran orangutan). RNAcentral describes it as "processed transcript". Lineage: Eukaryota; Metazoa; Chordata; Mammalia; Primates; Hominidae. The record is from RNAcentral.
AAUGAUGCCAAACAUCCAAAUAGUAUUUGCUGUGAUGUUGAAACAUUUGUAGCAGACAUACUGAAAGGAGAAAAUUUAUCCAAGAAAGCAAAGGAAAAGAGAGAAUCCCUUAUUAAGAAGAUAAAAGAUGUAAAGUCUAUCUAUCUUCAGGAAUUUCGAGACAAAGGUGAUGCAGAAGAUGGGGAAGAAUAUGAUGACCCUUUUGCUGGGCCUCCAGACACUAUUUCAUUGGCCUCAGAACGAUAUGAUAAAGACGAUGAAGCCACCUCUGAUGGAGCCCAGUUUCCUCCAAUUGCAGCACAAGACCUUCCUUUUGUUCUAAAGGCUGGCUACCUUGAAAAACGCAGAAAAGAUCACAGCUUUCUGGGAUUUGAAUGGCAGAAACGGUGGUGUGCUCUCAGUAAAACAGUAUUCUAUUAUUAUGGAAGUGAUAAAGACAAACAACAGAAAGGUGAAUUUGCAAUAGAUGGCUACAGUGUCAGAAUGAAUAACGCUCUAAGAAAGGAUGGAAAGAAAGAUUGCUGUUUUGAAAUUUCUGCUCCUGAUAAACGUAU